Molecule: long non-coding RNA, 434 nt
Filed under: Anser brachyrhynchus (Pink-footed goose)
Lineage: Eukaryota; Metazoa; Chordata; Aves; Anseriformes; Anatidae
Description: lncRNA (ENSABRG00000019799.1)
Source: RNAcentral
AAAAAUAACAGACAUCUGCUCUUGUAAAAUUUUAUAUAAUACACAUUAUUUUAAUAUGUUAAGUUGGUAUUGCUGGUCGAGUUUAAAGUCAGCAAUUCCUGUGAUUGGAUAAGCAUUGGAGGUCUCAAAAUAUUCUAAAAGCUGAAGCCUCAAUUUUGAAAUGAUCUUCAUAGAAAUCAACUCCCAUUCUUCCUUGGAGUCUUCAGAAAUAAACAGCUGAGAUGCCACGUGUAUAGAGCUCACCCUGAGAGCAGUGCGGGGAUUUCUGCCACUGUAAAUCCAUUCAAAAAAGACAACAGCUGCCACAAUUCUGUGCUGCAAAGUGAACAACUGAAGCUGAAGGUAAUAUGAAAACCUUUUUGAGUUCAUUGGGUUUGUACUUGAGUGGGAAUAUGCAUUUUUGAUUGCAGGAACAGCAGCUAAAUUUGGAAAAU